GCUUGUCUCAAAGAUUAAGCCAUGCAUGUCUAAGUAUAAACGACUUUAUACUGUGAAACUGCGAAUGGCUCAUUAUAUCAGUUAUAGUUUAUUUGGCGAUAAAAACUACUUGGAUAACCGUAGUAAUUCUAGAGCUAAUACAUGCAUCAUCCCCCAUCUCGGGGUGUAUUUAUUAGAUGGAAACCAAUGCGGGGCAACCCGGAAUAUGGUGAUUCAUAAUAACUUUCGGAUCGUUUACGAUGCAUCAUUCAAGUUUCUGCCCUAUCAGCUUUGGAUGGUAGGGUAUUGGCCUACCAUGGCUUUAACGGGUAACGGAGAAUUAGGGUUCGAUUCCGGAGAGGGAGCCUGAGAAAUGGCUACCACAUCCAAGGAAGGCAGCAGG
This 382-nucleotide ribosomal RNA is filed under the name Ochromonas tuberculata. RNAcentral describes it as "partial small subunit ribosomal RNA". It matches the Rfam family "Eukaryotic small subunit ribosomal RNA", at positions 30 to 432 of the family's 1831-position model. The record is from RNAcentral. Lineage: Eukaryota; Chrysophyceae; Chromulinales; Chromulinaceae.